This is a long non-coding RNA of Cariama cristata (Red-legged seriema), 305 nucleotides long. RefSeq lists it as uncharacterized. Lineage: Eukaryota; Metazoa; Chordata; Aves; Cariamiformes; Cariamidae. The transcript has 2 exons. The record is from RefSeq and is a predicted model, not a curated record.
AGACCUGUUUUCCUGUCUCUAGAUUGGACUGGUUUAGAUGAAGAUGAAGAUGCACAUGUCUGGGAAGACAAUUGGGAUGAUGACAAUGUAGAAGAUGAUUUCUCCAAUCAGUUACGAGCUGAAUUAGAAAAACAUGGAUACAAGAUGGAAACCUCGUAGUUUUUGCUGAAUAUGGAGUGGUUUCACUUUGAACUGUGGACAGACUAUAUUGAGAAAAGAAGAAAAGGUGGAAAAUGAGAGGCUUAGUUCAUAAUCUGCUUGGAUUUAUUAUUGUUUUGUAUAAAAAAUAAAGUUUUUAAUCUUAA